Callithrix jacchus (white-tufted-ear marmoset) is the source of this 214-nucleotide non-coding RNA. Lineage: Eukaryota; Metazoa; Chordata; Mammalia; Primates; Cebidae. The record is from Rfam.
UUUGCAGCUUUAGAUUGUGGUCAGAGGCUGUUACAAAAUCUUAUAUUCUAUGAUGGCUCAUAUGCAUCAUCUAGAGCAUGGUGGUUCUGUUUAUGAAUGUAUAAAAGGACAAUUUUUUGAUUAAAGUCAGCUUUGAGUUUAGAACGUAUUCCAGACAUCUUAGUUGCCCUUAGUUAUUUUGGGGGAUAUUUUUCUCAGCCAUUAAUAAAGCAAU